GCGGCAUGCUUUACACAUGCAAGUCGAACGGCAGCGCGGGGCAACCUGGCGGCGAGUGGCGAACGGGCCAGUAAUACAUCGGAACGUACCCAGAAGUGGGGGAUAACGUAGCGAAAGUUACGCUAAUACCGCAUACGUUCUACGGAAGAAAGUGGGGGACCUUCGGGCCUCAUGCUUUUGGAGCGGCCGAUGUCUGAUUAGCUAGUUNNNNAGGUAAAGGCUCACCAAGGCGACGAUCAGUAGCUGGUCUGAGAGGACGACCAGCCACACUGGGACUGAGACACGGCCCAGACUCCUACGGGAGGCAGCAGUGGGGAAUUUUGGACAAUGGGCGCAAGCCUGAUCCAGCAAUGCCGCGUGAGUGAAGAAGGCCNNCGGGUUGUAAAGCUCUUUUGUCAGGGAAGAAACGGCUGGGGCUAAUAUCCCCGGCUAAUGACGGUACCUGAAGAAUAAGCACCGGCUAACUACGUGCCAGCAGCCGCGGUAAUACGUAGGGUGCAAGCGUUAAUCGGAAUUACUGGGCGUAAAGCGUGCGCAGGCGGUUUUGUAAGUCUGACGUGAAAUCCCCGGGCUCAACCUGGGAAUUGCGUUGGAGACUGCAAGGCUGGAGUCUGGCAGAGGGGGGUAGAAUUCCACGUGUAGCAGUGAAAUGCGUAGAGAUGUGGAGGAACACCGAUG
This 678-nucleotide ribosomal RNA is filed under the name bacterium enrichment culture clone SC-1_14. Its description in RNAcentral is "bacterial SSU rRNA". It matches the Rfam family "Bacterial small subunit ribosomal RNA", at positions 39 to 714 of the family's 1533-position model. The record is from RNAcentral.